CCCAAAUAAACACUAUGCGGUUUCUCACCCCCACAAGUGAAACCUACUCAAAAUCAAUUCACCCCCAAAUUGAAAACCCUCGUCUGCCGCUUAACCCUGCAACCGCUCCGGCGACCAAAAUCCCCAUCACAAAUUCGAUCGAUCAAAACCUCCGCCGUUCACCAUCGAGAGCCAGGCCACCACCGCUCCCUUUCUCUCUAGCUACUCCUCCCUAACGACCUCAACAUCAUCAUUGUUGCCAGACAUCUGUUAUUGCUUGCCCCAUCGUGCUGUAACCACCGAUGUUGUCGUCUCUCUCAUUGAGACUACUGCACUCUCUCUCUUGGUACUCUUUCCCGGCGACCUCAACAUCGUAGCUAUUGCUCACAGCCGCCGUCUCCUUAAUUGAGAAGAUCGUGGUUCACCAUUAACAGUUACAGCUCGAUCAAUCCUCUAGCGGGGACCGAUGACUCUUUCUAUUGCUUUGGAUUGGUGGUUACAGUUGUGGAUCCAAAACUUGGUGAUAACAUUAUUAGCUGUUGUUCAGCUCCGGGCGGAAAGACUCUUUUCAUGGCCUCAUGUCUAAAGGGCCAAGCUUAAGUGCAGUUGAUGUAAACAAAGGCCGAUUGAGAAUCCUCAAAGAGACGCCAAGCUGCAUGAACUUGAUCAAGUUAUCUAUACCAUUCAUGCUGAUCUUCAUGCGCUUGAUAGCAAUUGCUUGAAAGGUGAUAAAAUUCUGCUGGAUGCUCCUUGUUCUGGGUUGGGUGUAUGUAACAGAUCGGUUCCUGCAGUGAAUGUAUCAGUAAAUCUUUUAUUUCAGUAGUUCCUUUACUCUGCCGCUAAACUCUAAAACUAAAAUCAUAAUGACCCUUAAUUAUAUAAAAGUAAACCUAGAAACUGAAUAAAUUAAGAUAGCACUUAAAUAACUUUAAAUAAUUCUCUGUUAUCUCACUCCAGUUGUAUUGCUUUAUUCAAUUAUGAUAACCAUUAUCCCAAACUAAAUUUUAGUGUGUCCCUUUUGUACUGUUUAAUUACUUGCUUUAUUCUUUCUUUGCCUCUUCGUUUCUUUCUUUUCCUAGUAUCAUCUCUACUUAUUUUCUCAAUGCACUACUUGGCUGUUAUUUAUUCAUUUCUUUAAUACAGAGAGCAGAUUUGCGCUAGAAUAGGAGAUUGGAAGACAUGAAAGAACUUAUAAAUUUGCAAGAUACACUUCUUGAUUCAGCUUCAAACUACUCCAAGCAUUGGAUUAUUUUAUAGUUGUGGAGAGAGAAGGCCAAAUUACAGCUUGUUCAGCUCUUACUCACUGGUGCCAAUAUGUUCUUUGUACAUUUGUAUUGGGCCAUUGGCUGUAUAAAAGGGGAACAAGCAGAUUGAGUGAUUUGAUUGCUCUGUUAAUUGCUAUUUAGAAUUGCUUUGAUUUUUAUCUUGUGGAGGAAUUAUAAGUGUCUCUGUAUGACCAUGCAGAUUAUAUUGAGAAAAAGACAUCUUUUCUUGGACUUCAAACGCUUUUACUCUCAGGCUUUAGAGGAAGCCAUUGUUGAGUUGGAUACUUUGGGUGAAGAGUUCUACAAGGAUUGUAUCGUGAUUCGUGAAACUUUGUUACUUGGACACAUGAUGUAAUGUAUUGGAUUUGAACGUAAAUCUUGUAGUAUAUCUUAGUUUUAUUGAAUUAUUAGUUACAUUUC
Salvia miltiorrhiza (redroot sage) is the source of this 1664-nucleotide long non-coding RNA. RefSeq lists it as uncharacterized. The transcript has 6 exons. The record is from RefSeq and is a predicted model, not a curated record. Lineage: Eukaryota; Viridiplantae; Streptophyta; Magnoliopsida; Lamiales; Lamiaceae.